GACGAACGCUUGCGGCGUGCCUAAGAAAUGCAAGUCGAGCGAGCCUAGGGCUUCGGCCCGAAAGCUAGCGGCGAACGGUCGAGUAACACGUGAGCAACCUGCCCCAGAGCGGGGGAUAGCCCACCGAAAGGUGGAUUAAUACCGCAUACGAUCCGUGCCGGGCAUCCGGCAUUGAUCAAAGCAGCAAUGCGCUUUGGGAUGGGCUCGCGGCCUAUCAGCUUGUUGGUGGGGUAACGGCCUACCAAGGCUACGACGGGUAGCUGGUCUGAGAGGAUGGUCAGCCGGAUUGGGACUGAGACACGGCCCAGACUCCUACGGGGGGCAGCAAUUAGGAAUCUUGCGCAAUGGGCGAAAGCCUGACGCAGCAACGCCGCGUGAGUGAUGAAGGCCUUCGGUUGUAAAGCUCUGUCUUUGGGGACGAGUAAUGACGGUACCCAAGGAGGAAGCCACGGCUAACUACGUG
RNAcentral lists this ribosomal RNA (463 nucleotides) under uncultured bacterium. RNAcentral's name for it is "bacterial SSU rRNA". It matches the Rfam family "Bacterial small subunit ribosomal RNA", at positions 28 to 507 of the family's 1533-position model. The record is from RNAcentral.